AGAGUUUGAUCCUGGCUCAGGAUGAACGCUGGCGGCGUGCUUAACACAUGCAAGUCGAACGGAACUAUCUCGAUGAGCUUCUUCGGAAAGGAAUUGAUAUAGUUUAGUGGCGGACGGGUGAGUAACGCGUGGGUAACCUGCCCCAUACAGGGGGAUAACAGCGGGAAACUGCUGUUAAUACCGCAUAAGCGCACGGGACCGCAUGGUUCUGUGUGAAAAACUCCGGUGGUAUGGGAUGGACCCGCGUCUGAUUAGCUGGUUGGCGGGGUAACGGCCCACCAAGGCGACGAUCAGUAGCCGGCCUGAGAGGGUGAACGGCCACAUUGGGACUGAGACACGGCCCAAACUCCUACGGGAGGCAGCAGUGGGGAAUAUUGCACAAUGGGGGAAACCCUGAUGCAGCGACGCCGCGUGAGCGAGGAAGUAUUUCGGUAUGUAAAGCUCUAUCAGCAGGGAAGAAAACGACGGUACCUGACUAAGAAGCCCCGGCUAACUACGUGCCAGCAGCCGCGGUAAUACGUAGGGGGGAAGCGUUAUCCGGAUUUACUGGGUGUAAAGGGAGCGCAGGCGGUCUGGCAAGUCUGGUGUGAAAGCCCGGGGCUCAACCGCGGGACUGCAUUGGAAACUGUCAGACUGGAGUGUCGGAGGGGCAAGUGGAAUUCCUAGUGUAGCGGUGAAAUGCGUAGAUAUUAGGAGGAACACCAGUGGCGAAGGCGGCUUGCUGGACGACAACUGACGCUGAGGCUCGAAAGCGUGGGGAGCAAACAGGAUUAGAUACCCUGGUAGUCCACGCCGUAAAC
This 800-nucleotide ribosomal RNA is filed under the name uncultured bacterium. RNAcentral describes it as "bacterial SSU rRNA". It matches the Rfam family "Bacterial small subunit ribosomal RNA", at positions 8 to 807 of the family's 1533-position model. The record is from RNAcentral.